Molecule: ribosomal RNA, 511 nt
Filed under: uncultured bacterium
Lineage: Bacteria
Description: bacterial SSU rRNA
Rfam family: Bacterial small subunit ribosomal RNA
Source: RNAcentral
AGGGUUUGAUUAUGGCUCAGAUUGAACGCUGGCGGCAGGCCUAACACAUGCAAGUCGAGCGGUAACAGAGAGUAGCUUGCUACUCUGCUGACGAGCGGCGGACGGGUGAGUAAUGCUUGGGAAUAUGCCUUAUGGUGGGGGACAACAGUUGGAAACGACUGCUAAUACCGCAUGAUGUCUACGGACCAAAGUGGGGGACCUUCGGGCCUCACGCCAUAAGAUUAGCCCAAGUGGGAUUAGCUAGUUGGUGAGGUAAUGGCUCACCAAGGCGACGAUCCCUAGCUGGUUUGAGAGGAUGAUCAGCCACACUGGGACUGAGACACGGCCCAGACUCCUACGGGAGGCAGCAGUGGGGAAUAUUGCACAAUGGGCGCAAGCCUGAUGCAGCCAUGCCGCGUGUGUGAAGAAGGCCUUCGGGUUGUAAAGCACUUUCAGUAAGGAGGAAAGGUUAAGUGUUAAUAGCACUUAGCUGUGACGUUACUUACAGAAGAAGCACCGGCUAACUCCGUGC